UGGGUUACUGUAGCCUCGAAAGUACGCAAACACCACGAGGGCACCGGAUCCUACGACAA
Molecule: small RNA, 59 nt
Filed under: Caenorhabditis elegans
Lineage: Eukaryota; Metazoa; Nematoda; Chromadorea; Rhabditida; Rhabditidae
Description: Unclassified non-coding RNA Y53H1C.8
Source: RNAcentral